This 274-nucleotide ribosomal RNA is filed under the name uncultured bacterium. RNAcentral's name for it is "partial 16S ribosomal RNA". It matches the Rfam family "Bacterial small subunit ribosomal RNA", at positions 523 to 796 of the family's 1533-position model. The record is from RNAcentral.
AUACGGAGGGUGCAAGUGUUAUUCGGAAUCACUGGGCGUAAAGGGUGCGUAGGCGGUUUGAUAAGUCUGAUGUGAAAUCCUAUGGCUCAACCAUAGAACUGCAUUGGAAACUGUCAGACUAGAAUACUGAAGGGGCAGAUGGAAUUAGUGGUGUAGGGGUAAAAUCCGUAGAUAUCACUAGGAAUACCGAAAGCGAAAGCGAUCUGCUGGGAAGUUAUUGACGCUGAGGCACGAAAGCGUGGGGAGCAAACGGGAUUAGAAACCCUAGUAGUCC